UACCAAAAAAUUGAGUUAUAUAUUUAUGGUAAAAAGACAGUUAAACAAAUUUAUGAGUUUAUUGAUUACUUAUAAAAAGGUAAAAUUUAUAUAUAAGUAUAAUAAUCUAGUAAUAACUUUUUAAGUUGAAUCUGUGAUAGCUUUGAGGGAAACUGGGAUUGGAUACCCCAUUAUUCUUGGUUGUAAAUUUAAUAAUAAUUUACCGGAGUACUAUGAAUACAAAAAUUUAAAACUCAAAGGGCUUGGCGGUAUUUUAGACCACUUAGGGGAACCUGUCUCAUAAUCGAUAAUCCACGUUACACCUAACCUUUUUUUGCAUUCAGUUUGUAUACCGUCGUCGUCAGGUAACUUUUAAAAAAUGAAAAGUUAGCUAGAAAAUAUUUUAAAUAAAUUAAAACGUCAGAUCAGGGUGCAACUUAUGAAAAGGAGAAGAUGGGUUACAAUUAUAAAUUUAUAAUUAUGGAUAAUGACUAUAAAUAGUGAAUUGAAAGAGGACUUAAAAGUAAUUUUAAAUAUAUAAGUAAUUUGAAUAAGGCUCUGAAAUGUGC
This 548-nucleotide ribosomal RNA is filed under the name Microdrillia cf. optima MNHN 17887. Its description in RNAcentral is "partial 12S ribosomal RNA". Lineage: Eukaryota; Metazoa; Mollusca; Gastropoda; Neogastropoda; Conidae. The record is from RNAcentral.